Long non-coding RNA from Helianthus annuus (common sunflower), 501 nucleotides. RefSeq lists it as uncharacterized. NCBI's taxonomy places the organism in Eukaryota, Viridiplantae, Streptophyta, Magnoliopsida, Asterales, Asteraceae. The record is from RefSeq and is a predicted model, not a curated record. The transcript is spliced from 4 exons.
GUCUGGUGUGCGAUCGUGAGAAGACCAGGAGGGACUCCUUCCCUCUCAAAACCCUAAAUCUUUAAAACUCCAUCAAUUGAAAGCCAAAUUAGUGAAGAAUCGAAUGCAUGAGCUAAGAAUUCUGAUUAUCUAAGUAUUCUUGAUCUCAAGAAUCAUGUCAAAAUGGUUGAGAGCAUGGAAGGCUAACGGGCUAAGAAGACUCAAGUAAAACAAACGCAAAUACGGACGCACAAGAAUGAAAUAGGGAAUGCAGGUAUACUCGUGAUGGAAGUUGAAGGUUGUACAGAACUGUGGAUUCUCACCAUGGAGUGUAAAAGGUUGAAGAUCGAGUCAAGAGAUGGAUUGUACAUGUGGGCGCAUGGUCACGUAAUUUAAUAGUAGUAUGUCCGAUUUUUAUAAAUUUAUAGAAAGCAUUAAUGUAUUUAAGGUAAAAGAGUGAAUUAAUGUAUUUCUAAGUAUGUUAGAAUGAAUAUGAUGAAAGAAAAUUUUUAAGUUCGUAUU